This 519-nucleotide ribosomal RNA is filed under the name uncultured bacterium. Its description in RNAcentral is "bacterial SSU rRNA". It matches the Rfam family "Bacterial small subunit ribosomal RNA", at positions 501 to 1017 of the family's 1533-position model. The record is from RNAcentral.
CUACGUGCCAGCAGCCGCGGUAAUACGUAGGGUGCGAGCGUUGUCCGGAAUUACUGGGCGUAAAGAGCUCGUAGGUGGUUUGUUGCGUCGUCUGUGAAAUUCCGGGGCUUAACUUCGGGGUGGCAGGCGAUACGGGCAUAACUAGAGUGCUGUAGGGGAGACUGGAAUUCCUGGUGUAGCGGUGGAAUGCGCAGAUAUCAGGAGGAACACCGAUGGCGAAGGCAGGUCUCUGGGCAGUAACUGACGCUGAGGAGCGAAAGCAUGGGGAGCGAACAGGAUUAGAUACCCUGGUAGUCCAUGCUGUAAACGGUGGGCGUUAGGUGUGGGGACCGGUUUGGUUUCUGUGCCGUAGCUAACGCAUUAAGCGCCCCGCCUGGGGAGUACGGCCGCAAGGCUAAAACUCAAAGGAAUUGACGGGGGCCCGCACAAGCGGCGGAGCAUGUGGAUUAAUUCGAUGCAACGCGAAGAACCUUACCUGGGUUUGACAUGCACCAGACGGUUGUAGAGAUACGUACCUCC